Molecule: ribosomal RNA, 368 nt
Filed under: Philautus davidlabangi
Lineage: Eukaryota; Metazoa; Chordata; Amphibia; Anura; Rhacophoridae
Description: partial 12S ribosomal RNA
Rfam family: Bacterial small subunit ribosomal RNA
Source: RNAcentral
GCCAGACCAUAAAUUAACUUACACUAACCACGCCCGGGCAUUACGAGCCUAGCUUAAAACCCAAAGGACUUGUCGGUGUCCCACCCUACUAGAGGAGCCUGUUUUAUAAUCGAUACCCCCCGUUAUACCUAACCAUUUUUACCCGCCUGUAUACCGCCGUCGCAAGCCUACCAUAUGAAUGAAUAAUAAUAGGCUUAAUAGCUUAACCCCUACUACGUCAGGUCAAGGUGCAGCUUAUAAAAUGGUAAAAAUGGGCUACAAUUUCUAAAUUAGAACAAACGAACUGCCACAUGAAAUAAGGUCACAAAGGUGGAUUUAAUAGUAAAUAGGAAGCAGAGAGCCCUAUUAAACCCGGCCCUGGGACGCGU